UCCCUGGAUGUCAAGUGGUUAGGACUCUGCACUUCCACCGCAGGGGGCACGGGUUCAAUCCCUGGUCAAGGAA
RNAcentral lists this transfer RNA (73 nucleotides) under Bos taurus (domestic cattle). It matches the Rfam family "tRNA". From Rfam's summary of the family: Transfer RNA (tRNA) molecules are approximately 80 nucleotides in length. Their secondary structure includes four short double-helical elements and three loops (D, anti-codon, and T loops). Lineage: Eukaryota; Metazoa; Chordata; Mammalia; Artiodactyla; Bovidae. RNAcentral also lists the same sequence under 1 other name. The record is from Rfam by way of RNAcentral.